UGGGGAAUAUUGGACAAUGGGGGCAACCCUGAUCCAGCAAUGCCGCGUGUGUGAAGAAGGCCUGAGGGUUGUAAAGCACUUUUAGCAGGAAAGAAAUCUUUCAUAUUAAUACUAUGGAGGCUUGACGUUACCUGAAGAAAAAGCACCGGCUAACUCUGUGCCAGCAGCCGCGGUAAUACAGAGGGUGCAAGCGUUAAUCGGAAUUACUGGGCGUAAAGAGCACGUAGGUGGUCGUGACAGUCAGAUGUGAAAUCCCCGGGCUUAACCUGGGAACUGCAUUUGAAACUACACGACUAGAGUAGAGUAGAGGAAGGCGGAAUUUCCGGUGUAGCAGUGAAAUGCGUAGAGAUCGGAAGGAACACCAGUGGCGAAGGCGGCUUUCUGGAUUCAUACUGACACUGAGGUGCGAAAGCGUGGGGAGCAAACAGG
RNAcentral lists this ribosomal RNA (429 nucleotides) under uncultured bacterium. Its description in RNAcentral is "bacterial SSU rRNA". It matches the Rfam family "Bacterial small subunit ribosomal RNA", at positions 355 to 776 of the family's 1533-position model. The record is from RNAcentral.